RNAcentral lists this ribosomal RNA (424 nucleotides) under uncultured prokaryote. Its description in RNAcentral is "partial 16S ribosomal RNA". It matches the Rfam family "Bacterial small subunit ribosomal RNA", at positions 355 to 796 of the family's 1533-position model. The record is from RNAcentral.
UGGGGAAUUUUGCGCAAUGGGCGAAAGCCUGACGCAGCGACGCCGCGUGUACGAUGAAGGCCUUUGGGUCGUAAACUGCUUUUGCGUGGGACGAUAACGACGGUACCACGCGAAUCAGCCCCGCCUAACUCUGUGCCAGCAGCCGCGGUAAUACAGAGGGGGCAAGCGUUGUCCGGACUUACUGGGCGUAAAGCGCACGCAGGUGGUAACGCAAGUGGGGUGUGAAAGCCGCCAGCUUAACUGGCGGAGGCCAUCCCAAACUGCGUCACUUGAGGCCUGUAGAGGUAUGUGGAAUUGCCGGUGUAGUGGUGAAAUGCGUAGAGAUCGGCAGGAACACCCAGGGGGAAACCAGCAUACUGGACAGGUCCUGACACUCAGGUGCGACAGCGUGGGGAGCGAACCGGAUUAGAUACCCCCGUAGUCC